RNAcentral lists this ribosomal RNA (460 nucleotides) under uncultured bacterium. RNAcentral's name for it is "partial 16S ribosomal RNA". It matches the Rfam family "Bacterial small subunit ribosomal RNA", at positions 338 to 795 of the family's 1533-position model. The record is from RNAcentral.
CCUACGGGAGGCUGCAGUGGGGAAUAUUGGUCAAUGGGCGCGAGCCUGAACCAGCCAAGUAGCGUGACGGAUGACUGCCCUACGGGUUGUAAACUUCUUUUGUCAAGGAAUAAUGUGCGGCACGUGUGCCUUUUUGUAUGUACUUUGUGAAUAAGGCUCGGCUAACUCCGUGCCAGCAGCCGCGGUAAUACGGGGGCUCCGAGCGUUAUCCGGAUUUAUUGGGUUUAAAGGGAGCGUAGAUGGGUUGUUAAGUCAGGUGGGAAAGUUUGCGGCUCAACCGUAAAAUUGCAAUUGAUACUGGCAGUCUUGAGUACAGUUGAGGUAGGCGGAAUGCGUGGUGUAGCGGUGAAAUGCGUAGAUAUCACGAAGAACUCCGAGUGCGAAGGCAGCUUACGAAACUGCCACUGACAUUGAGGCUCGAAAGUGUGGGUAUCAAACAGGAUUAGAUACCCGUGUAGUC